GUGAGUAACACGUGGGCAAUCUGCCCUGCACUCUGGGACAAGCCCUGGAAACGGGGUCUAAUACCGGAUACGACUUUCGGAGGCAUCUCUGAAGGUGGAAAGCUCCGGCGGUGCAGGAUGAGCCCGCGGCCUAUCAGCUUGUUGGUGGGGUGAUGGCCUACCAAGGCGACGACGGGUAGCCGGCCUGAGAGGGCGACCGGCCACACUGGGACUGAGACACGGCCCAGACUCCUACGGGAGGCAGCAGUGGGGAAUAUUGCACAAUGGGCGAAAGCCUGAUGCAGCGACGCCGCGUGAGGGAUGACGGCCUUCGGGUUGUAAACCUCUUUCAGCAGGGAAGAAGCGAAAGUGACGGUACCUGCAGAAGAAGCGCCGGCUAACUACGUGCCAGCAGCCGCGGUAAUACGUAGGGCGCAAGCGUUGUCCGGAAUUAUUGGGCGUAAAGAGCUCGUAGGCGGCUUGUCGCGUCGGAUGUGAAAGCCCGGGGCUUAACCCCGGGUCUGCAUUCGAUACGGGCAGGCUAGAGUUCGGUAGGGGAGAUCGGAAUUCCUGGUGUAGCGGUGAAAUGCGCAGAUAUCAGGAGGAACACCGGUGGCGAAGGCGGAUCUCUGGGCCGAUACUGACGCUGAGGAGCGAAAGCGUGGGGAGCGAACAGGAUUAGAUACCCUGGUAGUCCACGCCGUAAACGUUGGGAACUAGGUGUGGGCGACAUUCCACGUCGUCCGUGCCGCAGCUAACGCAUUAAGUUCCCCGCCUGGGGGAGUACGGCCGCAAGGCUAAAACUCAAAGGAAUUUGACGGGGGCCCGCACAAGCGGCGGAGCAUGUGGCUUAAUUCGACGCAACGCGAAGAACCUUACCAAGGCUUGACAUAUACCGGAAAGCAUUUAGAGAUAGUGCCCCCCUUGUGGUCGGUAUACAGGUGGUGCAUGGCUGUCGUCAGCUCGUGUCGUGGAAAUGUUUGGGUUAAGUCCCGCAACGAGCGCAACCUUUGUCCUGUGUUGCAGAUGCCCUUUCGGGGGGGAUGGGGGACUCACAAGAAACCCGCCGGGGUCACUUCGAAGGAGAGGGGGGGGGACAACAUCAAAUCAUCCUGGCCCCUUAUGUCUUGGGGUGCCACACUGCUACAAUGGGCGGUACAAAAGCUGCCAUACCCGUGGGGUGGGAGCGAAUCUCAAAAACCGGUCCCCCUCCCGAGUGGGGGGUGCGCACCCCACCCCCUCGAAGGGGAGGGCGCUUGUAAUCCAAACAACAAUUUGUCGGGGGAGAGAAUUUCCCGGGCUUGGUCAACCCCCCCCUCCCCCUC
RNAcentral lists this ribosomal RNA (1304 nucleotides) under Streptomyces sp. NTRHn3. RNAcentral describes it as "bacterial SSU rRNA". It matches the Rfam family "Bacterial small subunit ribosomal RNA", at positions 106 to 1404 of the family's 1533-position model. The record is from RNAcentral. Lineage: Bacteria; Bacillati; Actinomycetota; Actinomycetes; Kitasatosporales; Streptomycetaceae.